This 352-nucleotide ribosomal RNA is filed under the name uncultured Smithella sp. Its description in RNAcentral is "bacterial SSU rRNA". It matches the Rfam family "Bacterial small subunit ribosomal RNA", at positions 1031 to 1382 of the family's 1533-position model. Lineage: Bacteria; Pseudomonadati; Thermodesulfobacteriota; Syntrophia; Syntrophales; Smithellaceae. The record is from RNAcentral.
UGUACAGGUGCUGCAUGGCUGUCGUCAGCUCGUGCCGUGAGAUGUUGGGUUAAGUCCCGCAACGAGCGCAACCCCUAUCUUAAUUGCCAUCCAUUCAGUUGGGCACUUUAGAGAGGACUGCCGGUGUUAAGCCGGAGGAAGGUGGGGAUGACGUCAAGUCCUCAUGGCCUUUAUGUCUAGGGCUACACACGUGCUACAAUGGGUGGUACAAAGAGCAGCUAACUCGCGAGAGUAUGCAAAUCUCAAAAAGCCAUCCUCAGUUCGGAUUGGAGUCUGCAACUCGACUCCAUGAAGUUGGAAUCGCUAGUAAUCGCGGAUCAGCAUGCCGCGGUCGAAUACGUUCCCGGGCCUU